Molecule: ribosomal RNA, 385 nt
Filed under: uncultured bacterium
Lineage: Bacteria
Description: bacterial SSU rRNA
Rfam family: Bacterial small subunit ribosomal RNA
Source: RNAcentral
AUUGAACGCUGGCGGCAUGCCUUACACAUGCAAGUCGAACGGCAGCACGGACUUCGGUCUGGUGGCGAGUGGCGAACGGGUGAGUAAUGUAUCGGAACGUACCUUUUCAGUGGGGGAUAACGUAGCGAAAGUUACGCUAAUACCGCAUAUUCUGUGAGCAGGAAAGCAGGGGAUCGCAAGACCUUGCGCUGAUUGAGCGGCCGAUAUCAGAUUAGCUAGUUGGUGAGGUAAAGGCUCACCAAGGCGACGAUCUGUAGCGGGUCUGAGAGGAUGAUCCGCCACACUGGAACUGAGACACGGUCCAGACUCCUACGGGAGGCAGCAGUGGGGAAUUUUGGACAAUGGGGGCAACCCUGAUCCAGCCAUGCCGCGUGAGUGAAGAAGG